AGCAUAUGAGCAUAAGGGGCUAAUUUGUGUUCAUGAUGAGAGGGCUUACACUGCUCUGCUUGGUGGGACUGAUUCUCGCAGCCUCGUGGCCUAACGGGGACACAGCGCCGACUAACAAGACUAUUCCUGUACGUGAAAUGCCUCCUUGGAGUCCUCUUGGAAAUUCUGAUGGUUUUCCACCUCCAUCACCUGAUGGAAAUGUGAUUCAGGAAAAGCAAUGAUGGACAGACACAGCAGAAGGGCUCAACUGAUGGCAGACAUGACCAUCUAUUUACUCUGCUGAUGCUACUGCCUCCUUCAAAUAAACAUUUAAGUCCA
This is a long non-coding RNA of Seriola dumerili (greater amberjack), 318 nucleotides long. RefSeq lists it as uncharacterized. The transcript has 4 exons. Lineage: Eukaryota; Metazoa; Chordata; Actinopteri; Carangiformes; Carangidae. The record is from RefSeq and is a predicted model, not a curated record.